GAUGAAGAACGCAGCGAAAUGCGAUACUUGGUGUGAAUUGCAGAAUCCCGUGAACCAUCGAGUCUUUGAACGCAAGUUGCGCCCGAAGCCAUUAGGCCGAGGGCACGCCUGCCUGGGCGUCACACGUCGUUGCCCCCCCAUCUACUCCUUCGGGAUUGCGGGGGGCGGAUGAUGGCCUCCCGUGCGCCUCGCCGCGCGGUUGGCAUAAAUGCCAAGUCCUCGGCGACGCACGCCACGACAAUCGGUGGUUGCGAAACCUCGGUUGCCCGUCGUGUGCGGUCGUCGCGCAUCGAGGGCUCGAAAAAAUUGCCGGGUUCCGGCUCGGCUUUCAACGCGACCCCAGGUCAGGCGGGGCUACCCGCUGAGUUUAAGCAUAUCAAUAAGCGGAGGA
This 391-nucleotide unclassified non-coding RNA is filed under the name soil metagenome. Its description in RNAcentral is "partial contains 5.8S ribosomal RNA, internal transcribed spacer 2, and large subunit ribosomal RNA". The stretch from base 1 to 122 matches the Rfam family "5.8S ribosomal RNA", at positions 35 to 154 of the family's 154-position model. The record is from RNAcentral.